This 253-nucleotide ribosomal RNA is filed under the name uncultured bacterium. RNAcentral's name for it is "partial 16S ribosomal RNA". It matches the Rfam family "Bacterial small subunit ribosomal RNA", at positions 524 to 776 of the family's 1533-position model. The record is from RNAcentral.
UACAUGGGGUGCAAACGUUGCUCGGAAUCAUUGGGCGUAAAGCGCGCGUAGGCGGUUACACAAGUUGGAUGUGAAAGCCCUCGGCUUAACUGAGGAAGUGCAUCCAAAACUGUGCAGCUAGAGUACUAAAGAGGGUCGCGGAAUUCCCGGUGUAGAGGUGAAAUUCGUAGAUAUCUGGAGGAACACCGGUGGCGAAGGCGGCAUCCUGGACCAACACUGACGCUGAGGAGCGAAAGCCAGGGGAGCAAACGGG